Molecule: ribosomal RNA, 252 nt
Filed under: uncultured bacterium
Lineage: Bacteria
Description: partial 16S ribosomal RNA
Rfam family: Bacterial small subunit ribosomal RNA
Source: RNAcentral
UACGUAGGGCGCAAGCGUUGUCCGGAAUCAUUGGGCGUAAAGAGCUCGUAGGCGGCCUGUUGCGUCCGCUGUGAAAUCCCGGGGCUUAACCCCGGGCGUGCAGUGGAUACGGGCUGGCUGGAGGCAGGCAGGGGAGAACGGAAUUCCGGUGUAGCGGUGAAAUGCGCAGAUAUCGGGAGGAACACCGGUGGCGAAGGCGGUUCCCUGGGCCUGUACUGACGCUGAGGAGCGAAAGCGUGGGGAGCGAACAGG